This is a long non-coding RNA of Felis catus (domestic cat), 2335 nucleotides long. RefSeq lists it as uncharacterized. The transcript is spliced from 4 exons. The record is from RefSeq and is a predicted model, not a curated record. NCBI's taxonomy places the organism in Eukaryota, Metazoa, Chordata, Mammalia, Carnivora, Felidae.
AAUAAAUAUUCAUCAGUGAAAAAAAAAAUAAUGUCCAGAUGUUUUACUAUGCUUUCUCCUGAAAAAGUCAAAUAUAUCAUUGCAGAAUCACGCUAUCACUCAAUUCUUUGAAUUGUAUCAUUCAAAUGGUUUUGGCUGUAAAAAUUGUCUGUAAUGGUAUAUACCAUGGCACAAAUAUGUAACUAUUUCACUUGACCUUUCAAGCCAUGCAAUGACUUUUAAGCUUGCUCAAUAAGAGAUAAAAUAAAUCACACACAACAGAAUAUGCAUACAUACUCAUGCUUGUAUGAAAGUAAUUUUAAUAGCAAUGCACAAGGAAAGAUUUUACAUUUUUUAAUUUUAAUCAUCAAUAUGCACAAAAUUGAAAUUAAAUAUAGAGCUAAAACAUAUCCAGGUGAUUCAGGCUUUCUGCAUUUUCACUUAAAAUUCCAUGAUAUAUGAUGCAAAUAUAUUUUCAAGCUCAAUCCAUUGUUGCACUGCAAUGCAUUUAAAAUUUGUUUUAGCAUGACAUAAACCUAUAGUCAUAGAAGAGCAUGAUUGUUAAUUUAAGGCACACUGUCUUUGUUUCUUAUUAUGCUAGGAGUUUUUAGGGACUGGGCAUUAAUGCACACAUAUUUAGGUUUUACGUAUGUAUGUUUUACCUAAAAUAUUUGCACUUGAUCUUAGCCAAAAGGCCGAGAAGUGAUUUUACCUAAAAUAUUUGGAUUCAAAAUUCUUACAUGUGAAUUUCUUCCACAUUUCUUAUUACUGAUAUUCUUUAACGAAAGUUUAGAGUGAAUUUUUGUUUUAUUUUCCAGGGUUUGCUAGCUACCAAUUAUCUUCAGGAAUUUCAGUGAUAGACACCAAUAUACUGAUUUUCACAGAUUUGAGACACUUUAUUUUCUGUCAGACUCUAAAGGCAAACUGGGUUUCUGCCUAUUCUUGCAUAAUUAUAUAUUGUAGACAUAAAUAACAUAAUAUCCUAAGUGGCUUUGGAGAUGCUUCAAAGUAGAUGAUCUUUUCUGUCCUCUUUACACUGAAAUGAAUGUGGACAUGACUGCAUGCUAAUUACUUUUCUGGAAGGAUAGAAUAUUUCAGGCAUAGUGGUCCAUCUGUGAAUGAACAUUUUUCUUUAACUUUUAUGUGUAUUUCCAGGGUUUAGAAGAUAUUCCCCAAAUUAAUAAUUUAUUAUACAUUUCCCAAAUCCUAAAAUGCUAGAGACUGUAGCUAAUGACUCAUUCACUGAACAUUUAUUUGGUAUUGACUCGAUGCCAAGCACUGUUUUAAGUGCUUGGUGAAAGUGUAGGAGACUUUAUUUUAUGGGUGCUUUCUUUCUAGUGAGUAAAAAUAUCUCUCCAAAGUAAAUAUCACUCAAAUAGAAGUGAUAUACAGAUAAAAUAAAAUAGGGUAAUGUAAGAAGAACAAUGGAGGUGAAACUUAUUUAGGCAGCACGGAGAUGAUCCCUAUGAAGAGCAGUGUUUGAGCUGGGACUGGAGGGAGAAGAGUUAAAAAUGGGAAAAUCUCAGAGAGGUGUAUUUUAGGCAGACAUGUCAAGUUCAAGGUGCUCAAGAUGCAAUGAAAGACUGAAGAAAGGCCAGUGCUCCGGGUGUCUGGGGAAGAGUAGUGUUAUGGGAUGCUGUGGGAAAAGUAUGAACAAUGUGAGCAAGCUCUUCCUUGUGGAACACGGCAUGGCUUUGAAUUUUAUGCAGAUAGUCAUGGAAUCUCAUAGAAAAUAGCUUCGUCAUUAUGUGAUCCAACUCUGUCGUGAAAGUUGCUACUCACCUAAUCCAAACAUUCAAACUAUUCGAUUCAGUGCCAAACCAACGUGGGAGUCUCUUGACAUUCUAUUACAAAUGCUCAGUACAAUCAAAUAUUUGUUAAAAUAAGCGUACUUCCAUAUCAUACUCCCAUCUGAUAUUGUUACUUUUAAAAUAGUAUGUUGUAUUUACUUAGAAGUAAGUAUUUUAUUUAUAGUGUCAGUCCAUUUUCUUUUACCUUACUUUCCAUCAUCCUUUACUAAAUUGUAUAAUUACGAAGGUAAAGCUAAAGUUGCUCCAAUAUUAAGUAUCAUGCUCUUACAGAUGGUGUUCAUAUCUUAGCUUGGUGACCAAUGGACCACAAAAAAAGACUCUGAGAGGGUAUGGCAAUUAAUAUCAACAGAUUAUACUUUGAAGGAAAAUACGAACUUCAGAGAACUUUCACACCAUUUGAUGUUACCAGUGUUUUGGAUCUUGGCCAUUUUUAACAGCUGCAAAUCUACUCUGGUGCUAUAUCUAAGGUCUUUGGUCCAUUUUAAAUCAAGCUGGUAUUGAGGAGGGCACCUUUUGGGAUGAGCACUGGGUGUUGUAUGGAAACC